RNA transcript from Mandrillus leucophaeus (drill), 1562 nucleotides. It is a transcript of the gene named transmembrane emp24 protein transport domain containing 3, with no coding region annotated. The record is from RefSeq and is a predicted model, not a curated record. Lineage: Eukaryota; Metazoa; Chordata; Mammalia; Primates; Cercopithecidae. The transcript has 4 exons.
CCCGAGCCCACUCUGAGCGCGCGGCUGCGCACUGUGCCCAGUGCCCUCCCGGAAGCGCGGAGCUCUGCCAGCGCCACGUCUAUCCCCUUACAUACUCCUAGGGCUCCGCAGCAGCCGCGAGGGGCGCAGCCCCCGAGCCGCGGCCCUCGGGACGGUACCGAGAGCAUCAUGGGCAGCGCAGCCCCGCUCUCCGCCUCCGUGCUGCUCCUGCUGCUGCUCCUGCUCCUGCUCCGGGCCGAGCAGCCCCGAGGGGCCGAGCUCACCUUCGAGCUGCCGGACAACGCCAAGCAGUGCUUCCACGAGGAGGUGGAGCAGGGCGUGAAGUUCUCCCUGGAUUACCAGGUCAUCACUGGAGGCCACUACGAUGUUGACUGCUAUGUGGAGGACCCCCAGGGGAACACCAUCUACAGAGAAACCAAGAAGCAGUACGACAGCUUCACAUACCGGGCCGAGGUCAAGGGCGUUUAUCAGUUUUGCUUCAGUAAUGAGUUUUCCACCUUCUCUCACAAGACCGUCUACUUUGACUUUCAAGUGGGUGAUGAGCCUCCCAUUCUCCCAGACAUGGGGAACAGGGUCACGGCUCUCACCCAGGGCUUCAGGGUCUUCUGCCUGUAGCUGCCAAAGGAGGAGAAAAUGAGAAAAGUCCAUCUACUUCUUAAAAGCCCAUGCCCAGUGGGAAUACAUAUCACCUGCUCAUGCCCCAUGGAUGGAGUCCGCCUGCGUGACCAUCCAUGAGGCUCUGAAGACGGUGAUUGACUCCCAGACGCAUUACCGGCUGCGGGAGGCCCAGGACCGGGCCCGAGCGGAAGACCUUAAUAGCCGAGUCUCUUACUGGUCUAUCGGCGAGACGAUUGCCCUGUUCGUGGUCAGCUUCAGUCAGGUGCUACUGUUGAAAAGCUUCUUCACAGAAAAACGACCCAUCAGCAGGGCAGUCCACUCCUAGCCCUGGCCUCCUGCUCUAGGGCCCCUCAUGUCCCAGCCUGGAGCAGCUCUCCUAGGUCUCCUAGGCGCGUAGCCCAGGGUGGAGGCAGAACGAUGCUGCUGUGGUAGCCCUUUGCCUUUCAUGCCCAUGCUUGAUUCUUGCACCUCAGCAGCUGAAGGUCUCAGAGACCAGUAAUCAGAAGGCAUCCGACUGCAUUAUGUGUGCAGCACUGAAAAGAUGUUUACAACUAGGCUAGGGAUUAGCCACUGUGGGAGGGUGGGCAGGCAAUGCUUCAGCAGCCUGGCUGGUAGCAGGAACUCCAAGUGCCCAGGCCUUUUGGGCAGCUCAGGGCCCUGCCUCUGUUUCAUGAUGCAUGGGUCAUUUGUCUUGGGUGUCCUAUCCCAUGUGGAGAAGAAAGGGGCUCUAAGUUCUGGCUCUUCCUCCCCUGGGGUUCUCUGUACCUGAGGAUACCAGGCCCUGGGCAACUUUGCAGAUCUGCUUACCCCAGGUGAGCAACAGUGUCAGCCAUGCAAGCAGGACAGAAUGGUGACUGGGUGCCCUUAGUGAGCUGUGUAUUUCCUAGGAGGUAGAAAACUGUGGGAAACUGUGGCUAAUAAAAACGAAGUGUGAGCAUCCUGGA